GGACUAUCUAUGUAGGUACAAGUAACUUAUUGUAUAAUGUCACUGGAUUAAAUUCAGUAAUGUCCUUUUUCACUAAAUGUGGUUAUACAACCUUACAGCAUGUUACAAAGGGAACACAAACAAAAAAGUAAGUUUCACAUUGGACCUUCUUCAGGAGCAGUGCUGACCUAUUUCACUGACCUAUGCUCAACUGCCACUAGGUGGCCCUCUUUUCCAGCUUCCAAGGGCCUACAUUUGGCCUAUGUGGCCUCAGUAUAGGCUCAGAUUUCCUGCUAUGAACUUAAUGAGCCCAGCACUGGCUCUAGCUAUGGUUUGUUCCUUUUUGGGUGGAGUGGAUGGGUGGUUCUUGGAGAAUCUACUACUUUCCCGUGCGUGCAGUGGGAGGCUGUGUUGGAGAAUCUAGCUAUCCCGACUGGCUACACAGAGCCUACCAUAAUUUUUCACUCACAUCUUUAGUAUAAAUCUAAUUGUCUUGGCCUUCUGUAAUAAUACCUUUGAAGAAAUAAGGAUUUAAAAAAAGUUAUUCAUUUAAUAUUCUAAGUAGACCUGCAACAUGGGAACAAUAUUAUUAUUAUUUUUGCAGUUGAGAGGGCUGAAAUCUCGCAGGGUGAUUAAAGCAAGUUUAUUAGCUUCUCCAAAGCCUCAGUUUCCUACUCUGUAAAAUGGAAGUACUUUCCUACUGCUUUGUGAGUAUUUAAACGGAUGUAAUUUGGGAAGCGCCCAGCACUUUGUCUACUACUGGCACAGGGUUUUAAAGCCACCCAGAGGCCGAGGCGUCAACACUCCGUUUCCCUGCCGGUGCUCCUUCCAGCCCCUGGUGUGGUCGAUUUGGCAGGGGUGGAGCGCCAGGCGCGUGCAGAGCCGGGCGGACCCGCCCCUCGGGCCAAGGCCGGGCGGGAGGCGGAGCUCGUACUCAGGAGCCGCCUCCCGGGCGGCCGGGGCGGUCCCCGAGCCGCUUUCCGCGGCCUCGCGUUUCCCUGGGCAGUACUAGCUCGCUGCGGCCGCAUCUGGGAAACGCUUGCACAUGUUUUGGGAACUAACCUUCUCUUUGAAGAUCUUUUAUUCAGUGGAAACAUCCAAAGCAAGUCAGUGAUGGUUUUCUGUUCUUUGUUUUAAGCCAUCAAUGAACAGUGGUUUCUAAAACCUGGCUGCAUGUCUCAGAGUUACCUAGGUUCUUGUUAAAAAUAUCUUUUUUUUUUUUUUUUUUUUUUUUGAGACAGAGUCUGGCUCUGUGGCCCAGGCUGGAGUGCAGUGGCACGAUUUCAGCUCGCUGCAACCUACACCUCCCAGGUUCAAGCCAUUCUCCAACCUCAGCCUCCCAAGUAGCUGGGACUACAGGCCCAGGCCACUACUCCCAGUUAAUUUUUAUGUUUUUAGUAGGUGGGGUUGCACCAUGAUGGCCAGGCUGGUCUGGAACUCCUGACCCCAAGUGAUCCGUUUGCCUCGGCCUCCCAAAGUGCUGGGAUUACAGGUGUGAGCCAUGGGUCCAGGCAAAAAUAUCAGUUUCUUGACCCCACUUGAGGCCUUUGAAAUAAAAAUCUCUGGGGCUGCAGCCUGGGAAUAGGCAUUUCAAACAGAGACCCCAGGGUUCUCUGGCACUGAAGAUAACUAACAGCCUCUGAAGUUUUUCUUUGAGAUUGGGGCUUUUUGGCCUAUUUAGAACAGGUUUUCUUAAAGGUUAUGUGAAUGAAUUGUCAA
Long non-coding RNA from Papio anubis (olive baboon), 1698 nucleotides. The record is from Ensembl. NCBI's taxonomy places the organism in Eukaryota, Metazoa, Chordata, Mammalia, Primates, Cercopithecidae.